This 59-nucleotide transfer RNA is filed under the name Diaphorina citri (Asian citrus psyllid). It matches the Rfam family "tRNA", at positions 15 to 71 of the family's 71-position model. Rfam says of the family: Transfer RNA (tRNA) molecules are approximately 80 nucleotides in length. Their secondary structure includes four short double-helical elements and three loops (D, anti-codon, and T loops). Further hydrogen bonds mediate the characteristic L-shaped molecular structure. tRNAs have two regions of fundamental functional importance: the anti-codon, which is responsible for specific mRNA codon recognition, and the 3' end, to which the tRNAs corresponding amino acid is attached (by aminoacyl-tRNA synthetases). tRNAs cope with the degeneracy of the genetic code in two manners: having more than one tRNA (with a specific anti-codon) for a particular amino acid; and 'wobble' base-pairing, i.e. permitting non-standard base-pairing at the 3rd anti-codon position. Lineage: Eukaryota; Metazoa; Arthropoda; Insecta; Hemiptera; Psyllidae. The record is from Rfam by way of RNAcentral.
GUUGGUAGUGCGUCUGCCUUGUAAGCGCUAGGCCGCGGGUUCGAUUCCCGCCUGGGGCG